RNAcentral lists this long non-coding RNA (1039 nucleotides) under Homo sapiens (human). RNAcentral's name for it is "HSALNT0163435". The record is from RNAcentral. Lineage: Eukaryota; Metazoa; Chordata; Mammalia; Primates; Hominidae.
CUGAAAUGCUGUCUUUCCCUGGCUUCCACUGGCUCUGGAGGCCCAUUAAAGUUUUAUUUUAUUUUUUUAAAAAGGCUUCUCCCUCCAAUUCCUGUCUGCUGUGAGCUGUGUGUAAAGCAAACAAAGUCACAGAUAAUGUCAACACAAUGCACAAGGAAGCCAACGGUAAUAGCGUACACUGUAAAUUGAAUGUAAAAUGACCACAGAUUAGUAUAUAAUUGGUUGUGUUUCUAAAGCUGUGAUUGUUCUUUUUCUUUGAGGCCCUGUACCUCCAGAGAUCAGGGGAGAAGAACUGUUAAUAUUUAAUAAGCUUUCCUCUGACCUGGGGCUCUGGAGGAAGGUGACCGUAGAUCCAGAUGUACAAUCUCCAGCAGGGACACAGCCAUCCUGAAAGCCCCCGGGUAUUCCCUCAUUCUCCCUCAGAGCAGUGGGAAGAGCACUGGAAAGGCAGCGAAACCCAGGGCGCCGAGUUCAGGAAUGUUUGUACUGGUCCCUUGCUUUCAUCCCUGUCACUAUCGGACUCAUUUCCAGUGCCCAGGGCUCCUCUUCAUAGGCAACCAGGAGCUGAGAAGACCUCAUUCAUGCUGAGAUAGUCCUGUCUUCAAGAGAAAAGAGCCUUGUCUUACUGUGUUGACCAGCCUGGAGUGCAGUGGUGUGAUCAUGGCUCACUGCAGCCUCGAACUCCUGGGUUCAAGUGAUUUUUCCUGCCUUAACUUCUCUAGUACUUGGGACUACAGGCAUGUGUCACCAACCUGGCUAAUAUUUGUAUUUAUUUUGUAGAGACAAAGUUUUGCUAUGUUGACCAGGCUGGUCUCAAACUCCUGACCUCAAGUGAUUUUCCUGCUUGGCCACCCAAAGUGCUGGGAUUAUAGGCGUGAGCCACUAUGCCUGGCCAGUUAUGAAUUCUUUAUGUGCAUUUUGAGGACUCAUUUGAAUCCAGGCUCAUGUACCACCUAAGACAGAUUGCUAAAAUACCUUCCAUUCCAUAAGUAAAUUUUGCAUACUUAUUGAAUUAUUUGAAAAUAUAUAUGUGUGUGUG